RNAcentral lists this ribosomal RNA (482 nucleotides) under uncultured bacterium. Its description in RNAcentral is "partial 16S ribosomal RNA". It matches the Rfam family "Bacterial small subunit ribosomal RNA", at positions 30 to 507 of the family's 1533-position model. The record is from RNAcentral.
AUUGAACGCUGGCGGCAUGCUUUACACAUGCAAGUCGAACGGUAACAGCACUUCGGUGGCUGACGAGUGGCGUACGGGUGAGUAAUACAUCGGAACGUGCCUAGUAGUGGGGGAUAACUACUCGAAAGAGUAGCUAAUACCGCAUGAGAUCUAAGGAUGAAAGCAGGGGACCUUCGGGCCUUGCGCUACUAGAGCGGCUGAUGGCAGAUUAGGUAGUUGGUGGGAUAAAAGCUUACCAAGCCGACGAUCUGUAGCUGGUCUGAGAGGACGACCAGCCACACUGGGACUGAGACACGGCCCAGACUCCUACGGGAGGCAGCAGUGGGGAAUUUUGGACAAUGGGCGCAAGCCUGAUCCAGCAAUGCCGCGUGCAGGAUGAAGGCGUUCGGGUUGUAAACUGCUUUUGUACGGAACGAAAAGCCCUCUUCUAAUACAGGAGGGUCAUGACGGUACCGUAAGAAUAAGCACCGGCUAACUACGUG